Molecule: ribosomal RNA, 316 nt
Filed under: uncultured Pseudomonas sp.
Lineage: Bacteria; Pseudomonadati; Pseudomonadota; Gammaproteobacteria; Pseudomonadales; Pseudomonadaceae
Description: bacterial SSU rRNA
Rfam family: Bacterial small subunit ribosomal RNA
Source: RNAcentral
CGUGAGAUGUUGGGUUAAGUCCGUAACGAGCGCAACCCUUGUCCUUAGUUACCAGCACGUUAUGGUGGGCACUCUAAGGAGACUGCCGGUGACAAACCGGAGGAAGGUGGGGAUGACGUCAAGUCAUCAUGGCCCUUACGGCCUGGGCUACACACGUGCUACAAUGGUCGGUACAAAGGGUUGCCAAGCCGCGAGGUGGAGCUAAUCCCAUAAAACCGAUCGUAGUCCGGAUCGCAGUCUGCAACUCGACUGCGUGAAGUCGGAAUCGCUAGUAAUCGUGAAUCAGAAUGUCACGGUGAAUACGUUCCCGGGCCUU